UGGGGAAUAUUGGACAAUGGGCGAAAGCCUGAUCCAGCCAUGCCGCGUGUGUGAAGAAGGUCUUCGGAUUGUAAAGCACUUUAAGUUGGGAGAAAGGGUUGUUGCUUAAUACGUAACAACUUUGACGUUACCGACAGAAUAAGCACCGGCUAACUCUGUGCCAGCAGCCGCGGUAAUACAGAGGGUGCAAGCGUUAAUCGGAAUUACUGGGCGUAAAGCGCGCGUAGGUGGCUAAGUAAGAUGGGUGUGAAAUCCCCGGGCUCAACCUGGGAACUGCUUUCAUAACUGCUUAGCUAGAGUACGGUAGAGGGUAGUGGAAUUUCCUGUGUAGCGGUGAAAUGCGUAGAUAUAGGAAGGAACACCAGUGGCGAAGGCGGCUCUCUGG
Molecule: ribosomal RNA, 385 nt
Filed under: uncultured bacterium
Lineage: Bacteria
Description: bacterial SSU rRNA
Rfam family: Bacterial small subunit ribosomal RNA
Source: RNAcentral